Molecule: long non-coding RNA, 541 nt
Organism: Pseudophryne corroboree (corroboree frog)
Lineage: Eukaryota; Metazoa; Chordata; Amphibia; Anura; Myobatrachidae
Exons: 3
Source: RefSeq, a predicted model, not a curated record
ACACACUCUUCUCGGUGAAAAUGUAAUGUCAAGCAAUGCAGACUGGGCAAUGGAUCAAUCCCAAUUACUUAGCAGAAACAUCUGCGAAAUAGAGUAUAUAAAGAGGACAUUCAUAUCCAGAACCGGCAUUACAGGUAUUUCAGUGUUACCCAGCAUCUGGAGCAACAGAAAGUGUACUGAAGUGGAGAUGGAGAAUAGUGAAGGGUCAUAGGAAGGAUGACUAUCUGAGCUGGACAAUUAUGUGAACCAGCUACAGGAAGAGUUUGAAAAGCAGUUAGAGGUCACGUACAACCUGCAGCUGGAGGUUCUGCGAAAGUUUAUAAGAGAACUCCAACCAAUGGUAAACAAAAACAGCAGCCUACAGGAAAUAUUCCCAUCAUUUCCUAUCCUGCAUUUAGACAUCUACCGAAUUUGCAACAACUGAUUGUGUGGAGCUUCCUGAACAAACCAACAAGACAAGGCACGUCUGCCUUCUUCCAUUUUGGUGCAUUUAAUCCUGUAUGUGAAAUGUCCCAGGACUUAAUGUGAGAUUAAAGACAAA